AAGAGUCGGAUGAGUGGAGACGUUCACGUUCGGUUCCGUGAGCACAUCAGGGACAAACUCGAACUCUCGCGUCCACCGCAUCGUAUCGAAUCGCGGCAAUUGCCGAAUUAAGAUACAAGAUAUUGAUUCUUAU
RNAcentral lists this unclassified non-coding RNA (133 nucleotides) under Candidatus Kentrum sp. LPFa. The record is from RNAcentral. Lineage: Bacteria; Pseudomonadati; Pseudomonadota; Gammaproteobacteria.